AAUAAGCACUAACAGUGCCUUGGGCAGAGACCCCAGUGACUACCUAAUAGUAGCCUUCAAGAGCAUCACUUCCCACUCUCCUGCCCUGCCUCACUUUCCUCCUAGGUCUUAUGGGAUGGAUGGUAGAUGUCAUUCCCUGGUUCCCUAACGCUCAAGUCUAGCCCCUCAUUUCCUGGCAAGCAUCAAGCUUGAUUGUGUCUGUAACCUCUCAGAAGUCAGACCUCAGAAGUGUGCUUUUCUGGGAAAUCAGGGUCAGAGAGGAAAGAAGGAGGGAAUAAAGACAUUGUAAUAGAUUUAUAUAUAUCAUUGUAACUCAUCCACACAACAAUCUUGUAAGAAACUGCAAAACAUACAGCAAAAAGAAUUGGCUUAAAGGCAGUUGAUGUUUGUAAAUAAAUCCACAAUAGGAUCCAAGCUAAAGAGGUGAUACAUGGUCAGCCUAGUAGGACAAUUAGGAGCAUGUGCAUAUGCAAGUAAAGGCCAGACUAUAUAUUUUUUAAAUGUCAGUGCAUUUUGUUAUGUUAAAAUUUUUUCAAAGCUUUA
RNAcentral lists this long non-coding RNA (543 nucleotides) under Pongo abelii (Sumatran orangutan). RNAcentral's name for it is "lincRNA". Lineage: Eukaryota; Metazoa; Chordata; Mammalia; Primates; Hominidae. The record is from RNAcentral.